CUGCAGCCCGAGUGGUGAUCGAUUUUAUUGGGCCUAAAGCGUCCGUAGCCGGUCUAGUAAAUCCUUGGAUAAAUCGUACAGCUUAACUGUACGGCUCCCGGGGAGACUGCCAGACUUGGGACCGGGAGAGGUCAGAGGUACUCCAGGGGUAGGGGCUAAAUCCUGUAAUCCUUGGGGGACCACCAGUGGCGAAGGCGUCUGACUAGAACGGAUCCGACGGUAAGGGACGAAACCCUGGGGCGCAAACCGGAUUAGAUACCCGAGUAGUCC
This 270-nucleotide ribosomal RNA is filed under the name uncultured archaeon. Its description in RNAcentral is "partial 16S ribosomal RNA". It matches the Rfam family "Archaeal small subunit ribosomal RNA", at positions 477 to 747 of the family's 1478-position model. The record is from RNAcentral.